RNAcentral lists this ribosomal RNA (445 nucleotides) under uncultured bacterium. RNAcentral's name for it is "partial 16S ribosomal RNA". It matches the Rfam family "Bacterial small subunit ribosomal RNA", at positions 354 to 796 of the family's 1533-position model. The record is from RNAcentral.
GUGAGGAAUAUUGGGCAAUGGAUGCAAGUCUGACCCAGCCAUCCCGCGUGCCGGAAGAAGGCCCUCAGGGUUGUAAACGGCUUUUGACGGUGAAGAAUCGACAGGAUGCGUCCUGUUUUGACGGUAGCCGUUGAAUAAGCACCGGCUAACUCCGUGCCAGCAGCCGCGGUAAUACGGAGGGUGCGAGCGUUGUCCGGAUUUAUUGGGUUUAAAGGGUGCGUAGGCUGGAAGGUCAGUCAGCGGUGAAAAGCUGUCGCUUAACGAUAGUCUUGCCGCAGAUACUUCCUUACUUGGAUGAGGAGGAGGCCACUGGAACGGAUGGUGUAGCGGUGAAAUGCAUAGAUAUCAUCCAGAACACCGAUUGCGAAGGCAGGUGGCUGUACCUUAAUCGACGCUGAUGCACGAAAGCAUGGGGAGCAAACAGGAUUAGAUACCCUUGUAGUCC